Molecule: ribosomal RNA, 429 nt
Filed under: Gemmatimonadota bacterium
Lineage: Bacteria; Pseudomonadati; Gemmatimonadota
Description: Gemmatimonadetes bacterium partial 16S ribosomal RNA
Rfam family: Bacterial small subunit ribosomal RNA
Source: RNAcentral
UAGGGAAUCUUCGGCAAUGGACGAAAGUCUGACCGAGCAACGCCGCGUGAGUGAAGAAGGUUUUCGGAUCGUAAAACUCUGUUGUUAGAGAAGAACAAGGACGUUAGUAACUGAACGUCCCCUGACGGUAUCUAACCAGAAAGCCACGGCUAACUACGUGCCAGCAGCCGCGGUAAUACGUAGGUGGCAAGCGUUGUCCGGAUUUAUUGGGCGUAAAGCGAGCGCAGGCGGUUUCUUAAGUCUGAUGUGAAAGCCCCCGGCUCAACCGGGGAGGGUCAUUGGAAACUGGGAGACUUGAGUGCAGAAGAGGAGAGUGGAAUUCCAUGUGUAGCGGUGAAAUGCGUAGAUAUAUGGGGGAACACCAGUGGCGAAGGCGACUCUCUGGUCUGUAACUGACGCUGAGGCUCGAAAGCGUGGGGAGCAAACAGG